UCCGGCUUAUCACCGGCAGUCCCUUUAGAGUGCCCAACUGAAUGAUGGCAACUAAAGGCGAGGGUUGCGCUCGUUGCGGGACUUAACCCAACAUCUCACGACACGAGCUGACGACAGCCAUGCAGCACCUGUCACCGGUCCGGCUUAACCCGAAGAGGUUCAUCUCUGAUCCUCGCGACCGGGAUGUCAAGGGUUGGUAAGGUUCUGCGCGUUGCUUCGAAUUAAACCACAUACUCCACCGCUUGUGCGGGCCCCCGUCAAUUUCUUUGAGUUUUAAUCUUGCGACCGUACUCCCCAGGCGGACGACUUAGCGCGUUAGCUACGACACCGAAAGGCAGACCCCUCCGACAUCCAGUCGUCAUCGUUUAGGGCGUGGACUAC
This 381-nucleotide unclassified non-coding RNA is filed under the name uncultured Pseudomonadota bacterium. RNAcentral's name for it is "uncultured proteobacterium contains 16S-23S intergenic spacer region". The record is from RNAcentral. Lineage: Bacteria; Pseudomonadati; Pseudomonadota.